GUGCCAGCCGCCGGGUAAUACCGGCAGCCCGAGUGAUGGCCGACAUUAUUGGGCCUAAAGCGUCCGUAGCUGGCCGAACAAGUCCGUCGGGAAAUCCACCUGCCCAACAGGUGGGCGUCCGGCGGAAACUGUGUGGCUUGGACCCGGAAGGCUCAGAGGGUACGUCCGGGGUAGGAGUGAAAUCCCGUAAUCCCGGACGGACCACCGAUGGCGAAAGCACUCUGAGAAGACGGCUUCGACAGUGAGGGACGAAAGCUAGGGUCUCAAACCGGAUUAGAUACCCUUGUAGUCC
Molecule: ribosomal RNA, 292 nt
Filed under: uncultured bacterium
Lineage: Bacteria
Description: partial 16S ribosomal RNA
Rfam family: Archaeal small subunit ribosomal RNA
Source: RNAcentral